RNAcentral lists this ribosomal RNA (1744 nucleotides) under Escherichia coli. RNAcentral describes it as "partial 23S ribosomal RNA". It matches the Rfam family "Bacterial large subunit ribosomal RNA", at positions 1 to 1781 of the family's 2925-position model. The record is from RNAcentral. Lineage: Bacteria; Pseudomonadati; Pseudomonadota; Gammaproteobacteria; Enterobacterales; Enterobacteriaceae.
GUUAAGCGACUAAGCGUACACGGUGGAUGCCCUGGCAGUCAGAGGCGAUGAAGGACGUGCUAAUCUGCGAUAAGCGUCGGUAAGGUGAUAUGAACCGUUAUAACCGGCGAUUUCCGAAUGGGGAAACCCAGUGUGUUUCGACACACUAUCAUUAACUGAAUCCAUAGGUUAAUGAGGCGAACCGGGGGAACUGAAACAUCUAAGUACCCCGAGGAAAAGAAAUCAACCGAGAUUCCCCCAGUAGCGGCGAGCGAACGGGGAGCAGCCCAGAGCCUGAAUCAGUGUGUGUGUUAGUGGAAGCGUCUGGAAAGGCGCGCGAUACAGGGUGACAGCCCCGUACACAAAAAUGCACAUGCUGUGAGCUCGAUGAGUAGGGCGGGACACGUGGUAUCCUGUCUGAAUAUGGGGGGACCAUCCUCCAAGGCUAAAUACUCCUGACUGACCGAUAGUGAACCAGUACCGUGAGGGAAAGGCGAAAAGAACCCCGGCGAGGGGAGUGAAAAAGAACCUGAAACCGUGUACGUACAAGCAGUGGGAGCACGCUUAGGCGUGUGACUGCGUACCUUUUGUAUAAUGGGUCAGCGACUUAUAUUCUGUAGCAAGGUUAACCGAAUAGGGGAGCCGAAGGGAAACCGAGUCUUAACUGGGCGUUAAGUUGCAGGGUAUAGACCCGAAACCCGGUGAUCUAGCCAUGGGCAGGUUGAAGGUUGGGUAACACUAACUGGAGGACCGAACCGACUAAUGUUGAAAAAUUAGCGGAUGACUUGUGGCUGGGGGUGAAAGGCCAAUCAAACCGGGAGAUAGCUGGUUCUCCCCGAAAGCUAUUUAGGUAGCGCCUCGUGAAUUCAUCUCCGGGGGUAGAGCACUGUUUCGGCAAGGGGGUCAUCCCGACUUACCAACCCGAUGCAAACUGCGAAUACCGGAGAAUGUUAUCACGGGAGACACACGGCGGGUGCUAACGUCCGUCGUGAAGAGGGAAACAACCCAGACCGCCAGCUAAGGUCCCAAAGUCAUGGUUAAGUGGGAAACGAUGUGGGAAGGCCCAGACAGCCAGGAUGUUGGCUUAGAAGCAGCCAUCAUUUAAAGAAAGCGUAAUAGCUCACUGGUCGAGUCGGCCUGCGCGGAAGAUGUAACGGGGCUAAACCAUGCACCGAAGCUGCGGCAGCGACGCUUAUGCGUUGUUGGGUAGGGGAGCGUUCUGUAAGCCUGUGAAGGUGUGCUGUGAGGCAUGCUGGAGGUAUCAGAAGUGCGAAUGCUGACAUAAGUAACGAUAAAGCGGGUGAAAAGCCCGCUCGCCGGAAGACCAAGGGUUCCUGUCCAACGUUAAUCGGGGCAGGGUGAGUCGACCCCUAAGGCGAGGCCGAAAGGCGUAGUCGAUGGGAAACAGGUUAAUAUUCCUGUACUUGGUGUUACUGCGAAGGGGGGACGGAGAAGGCUAUGUUGGCCGGGCGACGGUUGUCCCGGUUUAAGCGUGUAGGCUGGUUUUCCAGGCAAAUCCGGAAAAUCAAGGCUGAGGCGUGAUGACGAGGCACUACGGUGCUGAAGCAACAAAUGCCCUGCUUCCAGGAAAAGCCUCUAAGCAUCAGGUAACAUCAAAUCGUACCCCAAACCGACACAGGUGGUCAGGUAGAGAAUACCAAGGCGCUUGAGAGAACUCGGGUGAAGGAACUAGGCAAAAUGGUGCCGUAACUUCGGGAGAAGGCACGCUGAUAUGUAGGUGAAGUCCCUCGCGGAUGGAGCUGAA